This 1254-nucleotide long non-coding RNA is filed under the name Ursus maritimus (polar bear). RNAcentral describes it as "lncRNA (ENSUMAG00000024085.1)". The record is from RNAcentral. Lineage: Eukaryota; Metazoa; Chordata; Mammalia; Carnivora; Ursidae.
AGAUAGAGACAGCCAGCGAGAGAGGGAACACAGCAGGGGGAGUGGGAGAGGAAGAAGCAGGCUCCCAGCGGAGGAGCCCGAUGCGGAACUAGAUCCCGGAACACCAGGACCACGCCCUGAGCCGAAGGCAGACGCUUUAACGACUGCGCUACCCAGGCGCCCCCAAAGUCAGAUUUUAAAUUGAUGAAACAGCUCUCUCCCGGAAGCCAAUUAGGAGUUCGGACAUUGAAUCUGGCCCGAGAUGCUAUCAGGCGUCCCCAGGGCAGGGAGGCUGCCCAUCACGCUCUGACACGCCUGGGGAGUAACCUUCGGAGACUUUACAAGGUUCCCCUGUUCUUACCAGGAGCAGAAUUUGACCUUGCUUAUCAGAGUGCACAUGGACAAACAGGACUAAGGCGCUACGCCCGCUACACGGCAACUCCCCAUUUCUCCCCCCGCCCAGCUCUGGCAACCUCCACUCGCCUUUUUGUGCCGAUGAACCGCCUACUUCAGUUACUUCAUAAACGUGGAAUCAUACAGUAUCUUUUCGCAACUGGCUCGCUGCCCUCAGCAGCGAGUCCUCGAGCUCCAUUCGCGCUGCAGGCAAGGCUGCGGAGAAGCUGGACCGCUCGGAACACUGCCGGUGGGGAUGCAACAUGGUGCAGCUGCUGUGCAAAGCAGAAAAAAAAGUUAAAACACAGAAUUAUGACUUGGCGAUUCGAAGCCUAGAUAGAUACCCAAAAGAAUUAAAAGCAGGCACUCAAGCAAAUGUACGUAUACACACGUUCAUAGCAACACUACUCACGAGAGCCAGAAGGUGGGAUCAGCCCCAAUGUCCAUCAAUGGAUGAAUGGAUAAGCAAACAGGGACAUAUACACACAAUGAAUUAUGCAGCUAUAAAAGGAAUGAAGUAUUGCUACAUGGGACGUGAGCCUCCAAAACACCAUGCUAAGUGAAAGAAGCCAGGCACGAAAAGGCACAUAUUGCACGAUUCCAUUUAUACGAGAAAUCCCACAUAGGUAAAUCCGUAGAGACAGAAAGCAGAUUGGUGGUUGCCAGGGGCCGGGGGGAGAGGGAAGUGCAGAGGGACUGCUUAAUGGGUGUCGGAUUUCCUUUGGGGGGGAUGGAAAUGUUUCAGAACUAGAUAGAGUUGUGGUUACCCAACACUGUGAAUGUACUAAAUGCCGCUGAAUUGUACACUUUGCAAAGGUUAAUUUUAUGUUCUGUGAAUUUCACUUUAAUAAAGGGAAUAUUGAAACGUCUGUAACGACCUAA